AAGCAAUGUUAUUUGGUGGUGAUUACUACUUGCAUACCGUAGUAAUUCCAGAACUAAUACCUUCCUAAAUCCCCACUUCUGAAGGAACGUAUUUAUUAAAUAAAGACCGACCUCGUUCUGCGGUGAAUCAUGAUAACUUUACGGAACGCAUGGGCUUGUCCCGGCGAUGUUCCAUUCAAAUUUCUGCCCUAUCAACUUUCCAAGGUAGGAAAAAGGCCUACCAUGGUGGUAACCGGUGACGGAAAAUUAGGGUUCAAUUCCGGAAAGGGAACCUGAAAAACGGCUACCACAUCCAAGGAAGGCAACAGGGGCGCAAAUUACCCAAUCCUGAACCAGGGAGGUAGUGACAAUAAAUAACAAUACCGGGGUUUUUCAAGUCUGGUAAUUGGAAUGAAAACAAUCUAAAUCCCUUAACGAGGAUCCAUUGGA
This 429-nucleotide ribosomal RNA is filed under the name uncultured marine picoeukaryote. RNAcentral's name for it is "bacterial SSU rRNA". It matches the Rfam family "Eukaryotic small subunit ribosomal RNA", at positions 107 to 552 of the family's 1831-position model. The record is from RNAcentral.